GGGGGCGAAACGGGUUCGACGGAGGUAAAGAAGCUUAAGUUGCAUGCCGAGGUCCUUGCUGCUCGUUAAACAGUUUGGAAUAAAACAAACGCAGACGAUUACGCGUACGCUGUAGCCGCUUAAUCGCGGCUGCCGUCUCCAGGUUCUGCUCCCGCGGGGACCGACGAGGCGUCGACUAAGCGGGAUGGCUGCCGACAUGAUGCUCGCAGUGGCGGCGGUGACAUCUAGUGGGCUGGCUCCGGUGAAAUCCCGUCCGCAGGAGUUCCCCGGCGCGAGAUUAAAAGUGCGAAAUAAGCAUGUAGAAGCUUAGGCGGAAUGCUUUCGGACGCGGGUUCAACUCCCGCCGCCUCCACCA
This 355-nucleotide transfer-messenger RNA is filed under the name Deltaproteobacteria bacterium. It matches the Rfam family "transfer-messenger RNA". From Rfam's summary of the family: Bacterial tmRNA, also known as 10Sa RNA or SsrA, is named for its dual tRNA and mRNA-like properties. Its role is to liberate the mRNA from a stalled ribosome. RNAcentral also lists the same sequence under 1 other name. The record is from RNAcentral. Lineage: Bacteria; Pseudomonadati; Myxococcota; Myxococcia.